CUCAUUGACGAACGCUGGCGGCGUGCUUAACACAUGCAAGUCGAACGGAAAGGCCCUGCUUUUGUGGGGUGCUCGAGUGGCGAACGGGUGAGUAACACGUGAGUAACCUGCCCUUGACUUUGGGAUAACUUCAGGAAACUGGGGCUAAUACCGGAUAGGAGCUCCUGCUGCAUGGUGGGGGUUGGAAAGUUUCGGCGGUUGGGGAUGGACUCGCGGCUUAUCAGCUUGUUGGUGGGGUAGUGGCUUACCAAGGCUUUGACGGGUAGCCGGCCUGAGAGGGUGACCGGCCACAUUGGGACUGAGAUACGGCCCAGACUCCUACGGGAGGCAGCAGUGGGGAAUAUUGCACAAUGGGCGGAAGCCUGAUGCAGCAACGCCGCGUGCGGGAUGACGGCCUUCGGGUUGUAAACCGCUUUCGCCUGUGACGAAGCGUGAGUGACGGUAAUGGGUAAAGAAGCACCGGCUAACUACGUGCCAGCAGCCGCGGUGAUACGUAGGGUGCGAGCGUUGUCCGGAUUUAUUGGGCGUAAAGGGCUCGUAGGUGGUUGAUCGCGUCGGAAGUGUAAUCUUGGGGCUUAACCCUGAGCGUGCUUUCGAUACGGGUUGACUUGAGGAAGGUAGGGGAGAAUGGAAUUCCUGGUGGAGCGGUGGAAUGCGCAGAUAUCAGGAGGAACACCAGUGGCGAAGGCGGUUCUCUGGGCCUUUCCUGACGCUGAGGAGCGAAAGCGUGGGGAGCGAACAGGCUUAGAUACCCUGGUAGUCCACGCUGUAAACGGUGGGUACUAGGUGUGGGGUCCAUUCCACGGGUUCCGUGCCGUAGCUAACGCUUUAAGUACCCCGCCUGGGGAGUACGGCCGCAAGGCUAAAACUCA
Molecule: ribosomal RNA, 872 nt
Filed under: uncultured organism
Description: SSU rRNA
Rfam family: Bacterial small subunit ribosomal RNA
Source: RNAcentral